CAGGCUUUUUGCUGUAAACACUGUCUUUUCAGAGAAAAUGCAGUGUUUACAUUACAGCCUAGUGAUAACUUCACUGGCCACUCCUCAGAUGGCUGUUAGAGAUCCUUCCUGGGUCAUGGCUGCCUAAAAUGCAUCCAAGCAUUCAGUAUCUCCUCCCUCUGCAUGCAGACACUGAACUUUCCUCAUAGAGAUUCAUUGAUUCAAUUCAUCUCUAUGAGGAGAUGCUGAUUG
Molecule: non-coding RNA, 231 nt
Organism: Pelobates cultripes (western spadefoot toad)
Lineage: Eukaryota; Metazoa; Chordata; Amphibia; Anura; Pelobatidae
Source: the annotation of a GenBank genome assembly